CCUACGGGUGGCAGCAGUGGGGGAUAUUGCACAAUGGGGGGAACCCUGAUGCAGCGACGCCGCGUGGGUGAAGGAGUGCUUCGGCAUGUAAAGCCCUAUCGGCAGGGAAGAAGCAAGACGGUACCUGACUAAGAAGCCCUGGCUAACUACGGGCCAGCAGCCGCGGUAAUACGUAGGGGGCGAGCGUUAUCCGGAUUCACUGGGUGUAAAGGGAGCGUAGACGGCCAUGCAAGCCAGGGGUGAAAGCCCGGGGCCCAACCCCGGAACUGCCCUUGGAACUGUGCGGCUAGAGUGCGGGAGGGGCAGGAGGAAUGCCUGGUGUAGCGGUGAAAUGCGUAGAUAUCAGGAGGAACACCGGCGGCGAAGGCGGCCUGCUGGACCGCGACUGACGUUGAGGCUCGAAAGCGUGGGGAGCGAACAGGAUUAGAUACCCUUGUAGUC
Molecule: ribosomal RNA, 441 nt
Filed under: uncultured bacterium
Lineage: Bacteria
Description: partial 16S ribosomal RNA
Rfam family: Bacterial small subunit ribosomal RNA
Source: RNAcentral